RNAcentral lists this ribosomal RNA (2177 nucleotides) under Bacillus mycoides. RNAcentral describes it as "partial 23S ribosomal RNA". It matches the Rfam family "Bacterial large subunit ribosomal RNA", at positions 747 to 2925 of the family's 2925-position model. Lineage: Bacteria; Bacillati; Bacillota; Bacilli; Caryophanales; Bacillaceae. The record is from RNAcentral.
GAAGUUCAGGUAACACUGAAUGGAGGCCCGAACCCACGCACGUUGAAAAGUGCGGGGAUGAGGUGUGGGUAGCGGAGAAAUUCCAAUCGAACCUGGAGAUAGCUGGUUCUCCCCGAAAUAGCUUUAGGGCUAGCCUUAAGUGUAAGAGUCUUGGAGGUAGAGCACUGAUUGAACUAGGGGUCCUCAUCGGAUUACCGAAUUCAGUCAAACUCCGAAUGCCAAUGACUUAUCCUUAGGAGUCAGACUGCGAGUGAUAAGAUCCGUAGUCAAGAGGGAAACAGCCCAGAUCGCCAGCUAAGGUCCCAAAGUGUGUAUUAAGUGGAAAAGGAUGUGGAGUUGCUUAGACAACUAGGAUGUUGGCUCAGAAGCAGCCACCAUUUAAAGAGUGCGUAAUAGCUCACUAGUCGAGUGACUCUGCGCCGAAAAUGUACCGGGGCUAAAUACACCACCGAAGCUGCGAAUUGAUACCAAUGGUAUCAGUGGUAGGGGAGCGUUCUAAGUGCAGUGAAGUCAGACCGGAAGGACUGGUGGAGCGCUUAGAAGUGAGAAUGCCGGUAUGAGUAGCGAAAGACGGGUGAGAAUCCCGUCCACCGAAUGCCUAAGGUUUCCUGAGGAAGGCUCGUCCGCUCAGGGUUAGUCAGGACCUAAGCCGAGGCCGACAGGCGUAGGCGAUGGACAACAGGUUGAUAUUCCUGUACCACCUCUUUAUCGUUUGAGCAAUGGAGGGACGCAGAAGGAUAGAAGAAGCGUGCGAUUGGUUGUGCACGUCCAAGCAGUUAGGCUGAUAAGUAGGCAAAUCCGCUUAUCGUGAAGGCUGAGCUGUGAUGGGGAAGCUCCUUAUGGAGCGAAGUCUUUGAUUCCCCGCUGCCAAGAAAAGCUUCUAGCGAGAUAAAAGGUGCCUGUACCGCAAACCGACACAGGUAGGCGAGGAGAGAAUCCUAAGGUGUGCGAGAGAACUCUGGUUAAGGAACUCGGCAAAAUGACCCCGUAACUUCGGGAGAAGGGGUGCUUUCUUAACGGAAAGCCGCAGUGAAUAGGCCCAAGCGACUGUUUAGCAAAAACACAGGUCUCUGCGAAGCCGUAAGGCGAAGUAUAGGGGCUGACACCUGCCCGGUGCUGGAAGGUUAAGGAGAGGGGUUAGCGUAAGCGAAGCUCUGAACUGAAGCCCCAGUAAACGGCGGCCGUAACUAUAACGGUCCUAAGGUAGCGAAAUUCCUUGUCGGGUAAGUUCCGACCCGCACGAAAGGUGUAACGAUUUGGGCACUGUCUCAACCAGAGACUCGGUGAAAUUAUAGUACCUGUGAAGAUGCAGGUUACCCGCGACAGGACGGAAAGACCCCGUGGAGCUUUACUGUAGCCUGAUAUUGAAUUUUGGUACAGUUUGUACAGGAUAGGCGGGAGCCAUUGAAACCGGAGCGCUAGCUUCGGUGGAGGCGCUGGUGGGAUACCGCCCUGACUGUAUUGAAAUUCUAACCUACGGGUCUUAUCGACCCGGGAGACAGUGUCAGGUGGGCAGUUUGACUGGGGCGGUCGCCUCCUAAAGUGUAACGGAGGCGCCCAAAGGUUCCCUCAGAAUGGUUGGAAAUCAUUCGUAGAGUGCAAAGGCAUAAGGGAGCUUGACUGCGAGACCUACAAGUCGAGCAGGGACGAAAGUCGGGCUUAGUGAUCCGGUGGUUCCGCAUGGAAGGGCCAUCGCUCAACGGAUAAAAGCUACCCCGGGGAUAACAGGCUUAUCUCCCCCAAGAGUCCACAUCGACGGGGAGGUUUGGCACCUCGAUGUCGGCUCAUCGCAUCCUGGGGCUGUAGUCGGUCCCAAGGGUUGGGCUGUUCGCCCAUUAAAGCGGUACGCGAGCUGGGUUCAGAACGUCGUGAGACAGUUCGGUCCCUAUCCGUCGUGGGCGCAGGAAAUUUGAGAGGAGCUGUCCUUAGUACGAGAGGACCGGGAUGGACGCACCGCUGGUGUACCAGUUGUUCUGCCAAGGGCAUAGCUGGGUAGCUAUGUGCGGAAGGGAUAAGUGCUGAAAGCAUCUAAGCAUGAAGCCCCCCUCAAGAUGAGAUUUCCCAUAGCGUAAGCUAGUAAGAUCCCUGAAAGAUGAUCAGGUUGAUAGGUUCGAGGUGGAAGCAUGGUGACAUGUGGAGCUGACGAAUACUAAUAGAUCGAGGACUUAACCAUAUAA